AUUGAACGCUGGCGGCAGGCCUAACACAUGCAAGUCGAGCGGCAGCACGGGGAGCUUGCUCCCUGGUGGCGAGCGGCGGACGGGUGAGUAAUGCAUAGGAAUCUGCCCGGUAGUGGGGGAUAACCUGGGGAAACCCAGGCUAAUACCGCAUACGUCCUACGGGAGAAAGCAGGGGACCUUCGGGCCUUGCGCUAUCGGAUGAGCCUAUGUCGGAUUAGCUGGUUGGUGAGGUAAUGGCUCACCAAGGCGACGAUCCGUAGCUGGUCUGAGAGGAUGAUCAGCCACAUCGGGACUGAGACACGGCCCGA
This 308-nucleotide ribosomal RNA is filed under the name uncultured bacterium. RNAcentral's name for it is "bacterial SSU rRNA". It matches the Rfam family "Bacterial small subunit ribosomal RNA", at positions 30 to 334 of the family's 1533-position model. The record is from RNAcentral.